UACGUAGGGGGCAAGCGUUAUCCGGAUUUACUGGGUGUAAAGGGAGCGUAGACGGCCUUGCAAGUCUGGUGUGAAAGCCCGGGGCUCAACCCCGGGACUGCAUUGGAAACUGCAUGGCUGGAGUGCAGGAGAGGUAAGCGGAAUUCCUAGUGUAGCGGUGAAAUGCGUAGAUAUUAGGAGGAACACCAGCGGCGAAGGCGGCUUACUGGACUGUAACUGACGUUGAGGCUCGAAAGCGUGGGGAGCAAACAGG
This 253-nucleotide ribosomal RNA is filed under the name uncultured bacterium. RNAcentral's name for it is "partial 16S ribosomal RNA". It matches the Rfam family "Bacterial small subunit ribosomal RNA", at positions 524 to 776 of the family's 1533-position model. The record is from RNAcentral.